This 2125-nucleotide long non-coding RNA is filed under the name Capsella grandiflora. RNAcentral describes it as "long non-coding RNA (CGRA_LNC000836)". The record is from RNAcentral. Lineage: Eukaryota; Viridiplantae; Streptophyta; Magnoliopsida; Brassicales; Brassicaceae.
GAGCAGCACAAGGAUCAGUCGUACCUCAACGUGGAAUCCGACAAGGAGACCCUCUCUCCCCGUAUAUCUUCAUACUUUGUAGUGAAGUGCUAUCUGGUCUAUGCACAAAAGCUCAAAUGGAUGGAACCUUACCAGGCCUUAGAGUAGCAAUGAGCAGCCCCAGAAUCAACCACUUGUUAUUUGCAGACGACACGAUGUUCUUCUGUAGGUCAGAUGCUCAAAGCUGUAAAACACUGCUACAUAUCCUCAACGUGUAUGAAACUGCCUCUGGGCAAAAGAUAAAUAAAGAAAAAUCGGCAAUAACCUUUUCUUCAAAAACUGGAGAACAUAUCAAAUUACAGGCUCAACGUAUUUUAGGAAUUCAAAGAGUGGGAGGUCUCGGUAAAUACCUGGGCUUGCCUGAGAUGUUUGGCCGCAAGAAGAGGGACCUUUUCAACCAGAUCAUAGACAAUAUUCGUCAGAGAGCUCUAAGCUGGUCUUCACGGUUCCUAUCCACUGCUGGGAAGGCUACCAUGCUAAAGUCUGUCUUGGCGGCAAUGCCAACGUACACAAUGUCAUGUUUUAAGCUUCCCGGCUCACUCUGCAACAGAAUCCAAUCAGCCCUCACCCGAUUCUGGUGGGAUUCCUCUGCAGGAAAUAAGAAAAUGUCAUGGAUUGCUUGGUCAAAAAUGACAAAAUCAAAGCGAGAUGGAGGAUUGGGCUUUAGGGAUAUCACUGCCUUUAAUGAUGCACUAUUGGCAAAAAUUAGCUGGAGACUACUUACAAAACCCUCUUGUCUGCUAGCAAGAAUCCUGCUAGGAAAAUACUGCCCUUCCAAUUCCUUCCUAUCCUGCUCAGUCCCUGCUUCUGCUUCUCAUGGCUGGAGAGGAAUUUGUAUAGGGCGUGAUCUGAUAUAAUCUCAAUUGGGACGAGCAAUUGGAUCUGGAAUUACUACCUCGGUUUGGUCUGAUCCGUGGAUUUCCCUCACAUCCCCUGUUGUUCCAAUGGGACCGGUUCCUGAGAAAAGCCAAAACCUGAAAGUUUCUGAGCUGAUAUGUCCCAUUUCUAAGGAGUGGGAUAAAGCUAAGAUAUCAUUGAUCUUACCCCAAUAUGAACAAGAUAUUCUCUCCCUUAGACCCAGUAAACUAGGAGCAGAGGAUAAAUACAUCUGGCUCCCAACAAAGACUGGAGAAUAUAGCGCAAAAUCUGGAUAUCACGAGGCAUCAAAGGAAGACUCCACAAAUCUCCAACCAAUUCCACGGUCAGAAGACUUUAACUGGUUAAAAGAAAUUUGGAACAUCCGCUGCUCUCCAAAGGUUAAAUUUCUUUUAUGGAAAGCCAUGAGAAAUGCCAUUCCCUCAGGGAAGAAUCUCAAAGAUCGUGGAAUAAACAGAGAAGCUGUUUGCCCUCACUGCGGCGAGGAUGAAUCAAACCUGCACCUAUUUUUCCAUUGCACCUUUGCUAGGAAAAUAUGGGAGUUAGCACCUCUCAAAUCCCCUAUUCACCCGACCCUUGUUACCAGUCUCAAAGCCGGGAUCGAAUUAACCAAUAGGCUUUUAUGCCUUCCGCCUUUGGGUAUCGGCCAUGGAAGCCUUUCUCCUUGGAUCAUGUGGAUGAUCUGGAUCAGUCGCAACAAGAAGAUUUUUGAGCAUAAACAAUCAAAUAGUGCCGACACACUAACCCAAGCAAUUAUCCUUGCAAAAGAAUGGAAUAUGGCUCAAUCUGAUACAUCUUCAAACCCAAAACCCCAUCUAGAUCGAACCCUUCAAUUUGUAGAUGCUGACUCUAUUCGGAUCUUCUCAGAUGCUGCUUGGAGAGAGGACUCAAAAGAGGCUGGAUUUGGUUGGAUCUGGGUGGACACGGUCACUGGGUUGGAAAAUCACGGAAGCUCUACAGCGACCAAUGUUUGCUCCCCUUUAAUGGCGGAGUCGAUAGCUCUUCUUCUUGCUCUCAAACAAGCUCUCAACCUAGGCUUCCAAAAAGUUAUCUUUGCUUCAGAUUCGCAACUGCUAAUCAAAGCAUUAAAUGCAGAGCCCUUCUCAAAGGAGCUCUACGGGAUUCACCAUGAUAUCCUUCUUCUAUCUUUAAAUUUUAUCGAAUGUAAUUUUACUUUUGUUAAGAGAGAACAGAACAUGAAAGCUGAUGG